This 468-nucleotide ribosomal RNA is filed under the name uncultured bacterium. RNAcentral describes it as "partial 16S ribosomal RNA". It matches the Rfam family "Bacterial small subunit ribosomal RNA", at positions 28 to 507 of the family's 1533-position model. The record is from RNAcentral.
GACGAACGCUGGCGGCGUGCUUAACACAUGCAAGUCGAACGGAAAGGCCCUGCUUUUGUGGGGUGCUCGAGUGGCGAACGGGUGAGUAACACGUGAGUAACCUGCCCUUGACUUUGGGAUAACUUCAGGAAACUGGGGCUAAUACCGGAUAGGAGCUCCUGCUGCAUGGUGGGGGUUGGAAAGUUUCGGCGGUUGGGGAUGGACUCGCGGCUUAUCAGCUUGUUGGUGGGGUAGUGGCUUACCAAGGCUGUGACGGGUAGCCGGCCUGAGAGGGUGACCGGCCACAUUGGGACUGAGAUACGGCCCAGACUCCUACGGGAGGCAGCAGUGGGGAAUAUUGCACAAUGGGGGGAAGCCUGAUGCAGCAAAGCCGCGUGCGGGAUGACGGCCUUCGGGUUGUAAACCGCUUUCGCCUGUGACGAAGCGUGAGUGACGGUAAUGGGUAAAGAAGCACCGGCUAACUACGUG